RNAcentral lists this long non-coding RNA (322 nucleotides) under Triticum aestivum (bread wheat). Its description in RNAcentral is "long non-coding RNA (TAES_LNC020293)". The record is from RNAcentral. Lineage: Eukaryota; Viridiplantae; Streptophyta; Magnoliopsida; Poales; Poaceae.
UCUGAGACACAGGCCAUGUAGCUCUUCCCUCAAGAGGUUGCAGGCAAUAAGCAUAAGUUUUUUUUGAAAUUAUCCACUCUGUAGCAAUCAGCAAUGUAAUCAUCCAAUUUGUUUGUAGUGCAGUGUAUGCAACUGAUGGCAUGAGAGCAAGGAAGGCCUGACAACUGCCAAUACCUACAACUACAUGUCCUGUCAUGCAAUCUGACAGUGUACCUAUGUACUCUUGUCUUCACUUCAUAUGCAUCAUUGCCAUUAAAAAUUGCAUGACAAUAAGCAGAAUAAUCUAUGCUUUUCUGUAGCUUCUUCAGUACUUUUGGACAGA